GACGAACGCUGGCGGCGUGCUUAACACAUGCAAGUCGAACGGAAAGGCCCUGCUUUUGUGGGGUGCUCGAGUGGCGAACGGGUGAGUAACACGUGAGUAACCUGCCCUUGACUUUGGGAUAACUUCAGGAAACUGGGGCUAAUACCGGAUAGGAGCUCCUGCUGCAUGGUGGGGGUUGGAAAGUUUCGGCGGUUGGGGAUGGACUCGCGGCUUAUCAGCUUGUUGGUGGGGUAGUGGCUUACCAAGGCUUUGACGGGUAGCCGGCCUGAGAGGGUGACCGGCCACAUUGGGACUGAGAUACGGCCCAGACUCCUACGGGAGGCAGCAGUGGGGAAUAUUGCACAAUGGGCGGAAGCCUGAUGCAGCAACGCCGCGUGCGGGAUGACGGCCUUCGGGUUGUAAACCGCUUUCGCCUGUGACGAAGCGUGAGUGACGGUAAUGGGUAAAGAAGCACCGGCUAACUACGUGCCAGCAGCCGCGGUGAUGCGUAGGGUGCGAGCGUUGUCCGGAUUUAUUGGGCGUAAAGGGCUCGUAGGUGGUUGAUCGCGUCGGAAGUGUAAUCUUGGGGCUUAACCCUGAGCGUGCUUUCGAUACGGGUUGACUUGAGGAAGGUAGGGGAGAAUGGAAUUCCUGGUGGAGCGGUGGAAUGCGCAGAUAUCAGGAGGAACACCAGUGGCGAAGGCGGUUCUCUGGGCCUUUCCUGACGCUGAGGAGCGAAAGCGUGGGGAGCGAACAGGCUUAGAUACCCUGGUAGUCCACGCUGUAAACGGUGGGUACUAGGUGUGGGGUCCAUUCCACGGGUUCCGUGCCGUAGCUAACGCUUUAAGUACCCCGCCUGGGGAGUACGGCCGCAAGGCUAAAACUCAAAGGAAUUGACGGGGCCCCGCACAAGCGGCGGAGCAUGCGGAUUAAUUCGAUGCAACGCGUAGAACCUUACCUGGGUUUGACAUGGAUCGGGAGUGCUCAGAGAUGGGUGUGCCUCUUUUGGGGUCGGUUCACAGGUGGUGCAUGGCUGUCGUCAGCUCGUGUCGUGAGAUGUUGGGUUAAGUCCCGCAACGAGCGCAACCCUUGUUCACUGUUGCCAGCACGUUAUGGUGGGGACUCAGUGGAGACCGCCGGGGUCAACUCGGAGGAAGGUGGGGAUGACGUCAAGUCAUCAUGCCCCUUAUGUCCAGGGCUUCACGCAUGCUACAAUGGCUGGUACAGAGAGUGGCGAGCCUGUGAGGGUGAGCGAAUCUCGGAAAGCCGGUCUCAGUUCGGAUUGGGGUCUGCAACUCGACCUCAUGAAGUCGGAGUCGCUAGUAAUCGCAGAUCAGCAACGCUGCGGUGAAUACGUUCCCGGG
Molecule: ribosomal RNA, 1343 nt
Filed under: uncultured bacterium
Lineage: Bacteria
Description: 16S ribosomal RNA
Rfam family: Bacterial small subunit ribosomal RNA
Source: RNAcentral